This 394-nucleotide ribosomal RNA is filed under the name uncultured bacterium. RNAcentral's name for it is "partial 16S ribosomal RNA". It matches the Rfam family "Bacterial small subunit ribosomal RNA", at positions 338 to 730 of the family's 1533-position model. The record is from RNAcentral.
CCUACGGGAGGCAGCAGUGAGGAAUAUUGGUCAAUGGCCGCGAGGCUGAACCAGCCAAGUCGCGUGAGGGAUGACGGUCCUACGGAUUGUAAACCUCUUUUGUCAGGGAGUAAAGUGCGCCACGUGUGGCGCUUUGCGUGUACUUUAAGAAAAAGCAUCGGCUAACUCCGUGCCAGCAGCCGCGGUAAUACGGAGGAUGCGAGCGUUAUCCGGUUUUAUUGGGUUUAAAGGGUGCGCAGACGGAAUGUUAAGUCAGCGGUAAAAUUUCGGGGCUAAACCUCGUCGUGCAGUUGAAACUGGCGUUCUUGAGUGCGCGAGAAGUAUGCGGAAUGCGUGGUGUAGCGGUGAAAUGCAUAGAUAUCACGCAGAACUCCGAUUGCGAAGGCAGCAUACC